Long non-coding RNA from Oncorhynchus gorbuscha (pink salmon), 400 nucleotides. RefSeq lists it as uncharacterized. The record is from RefSeq and is a predicted model, not a curated record. The transcript is spliced from 3 exons. NCBI's taxonomy places the organism in Eukaryota, Metazoa, Chordata, Actinopteri, Salmoniformes, Salmonidae.
CUGAGAUGCUCCGAGUGCCACUCGGGAGGGCGAGACCUGGUCUCCGAGGCAACCAUUUGAAUGCCCUCACGCGGUGAGAAUUUAUCGACCGUUUGCCAUGCGAUGGAAGGAGAGUGGCUGGGAGCAUUCUAGGAUUCAAUACGUCAGUCUUAUCUCUCAAAAAGGUCAGCACGGCACAAGAAGCUGUUGUUACCUCAGAAGCCAGCCAACCAUUACAUAAUCCAGACUUUAUCAUGGAGGAGAUGGUAGAAAAUGUUACUGACUGGUGCUAUUUGGAUUGCUGUCAUACCUUGUCCAUAGACUGCUUACAGGCUUCCAGAUUCCACACAGCAUGCAUUUCCACGACUGGGGAGUCCUGUCCCACCUCUGACCCACGGAAGUUCCACUCUCUUCCAUUUCU